GAGCCAGCACCCGGUGAAAUUCCCUGUUUCGUCAUCUCAGCUUGAACAACAUCUCAUGAUAAACCACACUAUAUGAUAAUAUACGAGUUCUUCUUUAUCAAAGAUACAUUUGCCUGUGAUCACAAAAAGCCAGAUUUUAAUAUUUUAUGAAGCUUUGAAUUGCACAUGAAAUUCACUUCCAUUGACUGGAAGGUUAACAUUAUAGAAAAUUAAAGAAAACUUGGAGAAAUUAUUCCUACAAUGCAAUUUCCAAAGGGAAUCAGCUAAUCCUGAGGAUGAUCUAAGUUGGGAGACGUAAACACCAUAUGCAGAUGAUAAGGGAAUAUUACGUGGUAAAUAAGAAAGUUGAAGAUGGAAAAGCUGACGUCAUCUUUGUUACACCAUUUAGUUAGUUGGCCCUUAUCAUCUAUACCACAGAUACUACACAGUCUGACACAUCUGUUUCAUAUUUGGAUAUUUUACUUGAAAAAGACGUAUUUGGUAAUCUAACGGCUAACCUCUAUGAUAAACGUGAUGACUUUAACUUUUCAAUCGUCAGCUUCCCUUACUUAUGCAGCAACAUACCUUCAUCGCUACACACGGACUUGUAUCUCUCAGUUGAUUCGAUACACAAGAUCUUAAAUGAAGUAAACUAUUGACAAACAAAUGGAUGAAACAAGAAUAUCAGCAAGCUUCCUUAAAGUCGUUCUUUCGAAAGUUCUAUGGUCGAUACAAUGACCUUGUUAGCAAAAACAAUUUUUCAUUGAGUCAAAUGCUAACUGAUGUUUUGAUACUAAUUGUUAGUCUAUUAUUUACACACUGAAUUGACGACAUAUUUUCCUGUUAUUUCCCGAUCAUGACAAGGAGCACACGGCGGGUGUGACCAGUCGGCAGGGGAUACACACUCCAACAUGGCACCUGAUCCCAAAUCUGAUUUUUUAGAAGUCCAUGGUUGUCUGCUCCUCUUUUGUAUUGUUUUAUGGACUCUUGAGCUUGACUACCGCUCGUUAUAUCCCUAUGUUUCAUCUAUAGUCAGCUAAACAUACAAAUAUGAAACAAAUAUUGCAGAUUCUGUGAGUUUUUAUAUCAAGUUCACUGGAAUACAUCGAGUCGACAUAACAAUGUUCAAUUGAUAAAACGUCGUCGAUAUAUGUGUAUGUGUAGUUGAGGGAAUGACUUGCAGUUUAAUAUGUAAGCAUAUGAAACUGGUAAGAUUCACUGAAAUACUUUUUCUUCGAUUAUUUUUUGAAAAAAAAAUGUCUAUGCAAUUGUUGUGAGUGUCCCUAACGUUUGUGGUAAAUCGAAUUUUUAUUUCCACACUAUAAUAAAUAUAUCAAACUUAGAAGCCUUAAAAUUGUCGAUAUAAAUGAGAAAGGAUGGCUAAAACGAUUUAAUAGAUUAUUAAUUAAGAUUGAUUGAGUCAGAUAUUCAUACUAUAUUGAAUCUUUAACAACUUCGGCUUAUUUUAUUUACAUAAAAUGACAAAUUAUUAUUUAAUUAUGAAUUAGUAUUAAGAUUUACGACCUGAUUUUGAAGCGAAGAUUUAUAAGUAUAUAUUUAUGAUGUAUAUUUUAUACAAUGAAUUGAAAUGGAAGAUUGAUGGCUGGUUCUUGUAUUGUAGCCGUUGUUUAAAAGUGAUAUUAUAAUUCAUAUCAUUUGUAUAACAUUCU
Molecule: long non-coding RNA, 1649 nt
Organism: Saccostrea cuccullata (small rock oyster)
Lineage: Eukaryota; Metazoa; Mollusca; Bivalvia; Ostreida; Ostreidae
Exons: 5
Source: RefSeq, a predicted model, not a curated record